Molecule: long non-coding RNA, 1613 nt
Filed under: Homo sapiens (human)
Lineage: Eukaryota; Metazoa; Chordata; Mammalia; Primates; Hominidae
Description: HSALNT0406261
Source: RNAcentral
AGAGGUGUCUGUGCUUCCCAGCUAGACCGGAGCUCGCUGCAGCCCCUCACUUUUUCCCCGGUCCUGCUUCAGGCCCCACUUCCUCUCUGCAGGUGCUUAGGCCGAAAAUCAGGAAUCUCUUGAAUGAAUGCAUGAAGGUGGAGCCCUUUCCCUUAAUGCGCAGGUGAAAAGGGCACCUCGGUGGAUUCUACUAAAUUUAAUAGAAGGUGUCUACUCCUGCAGGCUUACCUGUAACCUUUGUCACUCACUCUUCUGAUUCUGCAAACAUAUAAACCACGGAGCCACAGCCAAGAGAAUCUGGACUUGUUCGUUUUUCCUGAAAUAGGAUAUCUUAAAUAAUCCGUGGCUCAGCACUGCGCCCUUUUUUUUCUUUUCUUUUCUUUUUUUUUUUUUUUUUGAGACGGAGUCUCGCUCUGUUGCCCAGGCUGGAGUGCAAUGUCAUGAUCUUGGCUCACUGCAACCUCUGCCUCCUGGGUUCAAGCAACUCUCCUGCCUCAGCCUCCUGAGGAGCUGGGACUGCAGGUGCAAGACACCACGCCUGGCUAAUUUUUGUUAUUUUUAGUAGAGACAGUGUUUCACUAUGUUGGCCAGGCUGGUCUCGAACUCCUGACCUCAAAUGAUCUGCCUGCCUCGGCCUCCCAAAGUGCUGGGAUUACAGGCACAAGCCACAGCACCCAGCCUCACUGUGCCCUUUUCACUGGCAGGCAUUUUAUUGUCCCUACAGACCCAAGACGGGGUGGGGGAGACGUGCUUUGUGCUCACCUGGCUGGUUCAUGGGCAGGUGGCCUGGAGGACCCAGCCCUGGCAGCUGUGGGGUAGCUCCAGCCUGGGCCGGACAGCUUCUUUCAUCGCAGGCACCACUGCGGACAUUGCUGGGAGGAAGAGGAGGGAGAAGCGACGGGCUUCAUUAGGAACGGAAAUGCCAAGAUUAGUGAAAGAAUGAAAAGAGUCAAAACAGCCUAGAAAAGGCUUCAAUGAUCCUCAAACUGGAUGAUCGAAUCCCGAAUAAUUGGGAAUCAACAGUAAAGGCCAAAGCUUUCGAUGGAUUGGACGAGGCGCGUCCACCCUGGGGAGGGCCAUCAUUUUAUUCAGUCUACUGAUGCAAAUGCUUAUCUCUUCUGGAAACACCUUCACAGACAGACCCAGAAUAUAGUUGAACCAAAUACUGGGCACCUCAUGGCUCCAACAGGUUGACACAAAAAAUGAACCAUUGCAGAAAACGAAGAACAGUCACCAACUCCCACCCAUGCAGCUGGCUCAUUUGCUGGGCUGCCCUCCCCAGCAGGUGGCACAGGAAUCCCUGCCUUGGCAGGGAGGAGGCCUGGGGUGUGUGCAGGUACCCAUGGGAAGUUUCUUUGCCAUGGGGAAAGCCAGAGUCACCCCUUGCUUGAACACAAGAGUUGGAGGUUUCAGUGAGCUGAGAUUACGCUAUUGCACUCCAGCCUGGGCGGCAGAGUGAGACUCUGUCUCUAGAUAAAUAAAUUAAAUAAAUAAAUAAAUAUAAUUUAAUAUAAAUAACUAGAAAUUUUUCAAUACUUGCAUCUCUGUAGGUUACCUCUGGAAGUGCAGGGCUUUGUCUUUUUGGAUUAACUCAGAAAUUAGACCUUCAGAAA